GUAACACGUGGGCAACCUGCCCUGCAGACUGGGAUAACUUCGGGAAACCGGAGCUAAUACCGGAUAACACCGAAAACCGCAUGGUUUUCGGUUGAAAGGCGGCUUUUAGCUGUCACUGCAGGAUGGGCCCGCGGCGCAUUAGCUAGUUGGUGAGGUAACGGCUCACCAAGGCGACGAUGCGUAGCCGACCUGAGAGGGUGACCGGCCACACUGGGACUGAGACACGGCCCAGACUCCUACGGGAGGCAGCAGUAGGGAAUCUUCCGCAAUGGACGAAAGUCUGACGGAGCAACGCCGCGUGAGCGAAGAAGGUCUUCGGAUCGUAAAGCUCUGUUGUCAGGGAAGAACAAGUACCGUUCGAACAGGGCGGUACCUUGACGGUACCUGACGAGGAAGCCACGGCUAACUACGUGCCAGCAGCCGCGGUAAUACGUAGGUGGCAAGCGUUGUCCGGAAUUAUUGGGCGUAAAGCGCGCGCAGGCGGUUCCUUAAGUCUGAUGUGAAAUCUCGCGGCUCAACCGCGAGCGGCCAUUGGAAACUGGGGAACUUGAGUGCAGGAGAGGGGAGCGGAAUUCCACGUGUAGCGGUGAAAUGCGUAGAGAUGUGGAGGAACACCAGUGGCGAAGGCGGCUCUCUGGCCUGUAACUGACGCU
Molecule: ribosomal RNA, 653 nt
Filed under: Aeribacillus sp. KS01
Lineage: Bacteria; Bacillati; Bacillota; Bacilli; Caryophanales; Bacillaceae
Description: bacterial SSU rRNA
Rfam family: Bacterial small subunit ribosomal RNA
Source: RNAcentral